Peromyscus eremicus (cactus mouse) is the source of this 271-nucleotide long non-coding RNA. RefSeq lists it as uncharacterized. The transcript is spliced from 3 exons. NCBI's taxonomy places the organism in Eukaryota, Metazoa, Chordata, Mammalia, Rodentia, Cricetidae. The record is from RefSeq and is a predicted model, not a curated record.
GGUUCUCUCUGAGCCUCAUCUACUGAAGGAGGAUGUUGUUCAUUUUGCUGGGAUUCCAGGACAAGAAAAAGAAAAUAUAGCAAAUAUAGAAAUGAAAGCAGUAUCAAGCAUAGAAGUGACGUCCACUGAAGAGCACAAAAUGGAUAACAGCUCUGAAUGUUCAGAGUCAAUGCCUAUGUCUGAGUGUCUUCUACAGAAGAGAGAUGUGAGUCAUUUACCUGGGACUGCAGAUCAAAGAAGAAAAAACAUUACAAGUGGAGAGAUGAAAGGU